This is a long non-coding RNA of Oreochromis niloticus (Nile tilapia), 869 nucleotides long. RefSeq lists it as uncharacterized. The transcript is spliced from 4 exons. NCBI's taxonomy places the organism in Eukaryota, Metazoa, Chordata, Actinopteri, Cichliformes, Cichlidae. The record is from RefSeq and is a predicted model, not a curated record.
UAGGAAUGCUGCGGAGGUGGGUGGGGGACAGGCAGCGGGAGGCAAAGGGAGGACAUAGGCGCAUUUGGACGAUAGCUGAGAUGGGGGAAGAGGGGUGUCAGUGCAGAGGAGAACGAGCAGAAAAGGAGGAAAUCAUCCGGGACUGACUUCUCCCCUGACUGAGCACGCUUGCCAUCACCCAAAUUGAGCUGCUGACUGUUUAGGGACGGCCAGGAAGAUGGCUUGAAGUGCUCUGCAGCAGCGGUGUUGGCGGCAAUGUGGCAUCUAAGGCACCCGUUCCCCCCUCACCCGCCCUCGCUGGUCAUCGGAGGUCGAUAAUGUGCACUGGGAGUGCGCCGGCUCGCUCACUCCCUGGACGGAGACAACCAUUUAGGCAGUGCUUGGACCUUGCAGCGCAAUCUGAAACAGUGGAAGAUGUAAUUCCUUCUUAAAAGAAAACUAGAAGUUCACGCUCUUGAAAAGCAUUUCACGAGACAAUGUGAGCAUACGCACAUGCACACGAGGUCUAGAAGGAAUACCGACUGAGUUACACAUGUGAAGCGGGUGAUGCAAGGAACACAUGAAACAGCGGUCUCUUCAACUUGCCUUCAUGCACAGGAUGCUGUGCAUGUUGCAAGCAAGGCCAUUGCUUACUGCUUAUGUGCAAUCCUCCAGAUGCUGCACAGCCUCUGCUUGACCAAGAAGCAUUAAACCUUUCCAGAAAUGCAGAGUGUCUGUGAUAAUCCCUUGAGGGAUUUUGACUGAAAAUGCUCCUGCACUGCACUACUGGCACACUUACAUCUUGCCACCAGGAAGAGAAACUUCCAAAGACCUUCCUGAGGUGAGGAAGCGCUAAGAAAGGGCAGCCCUGAUUGGAAUACUGGAUAAUA